Molecule: ribosomal RNA, 497 nt
Filed under: uncultured bacterium
Lineage: Bacteria
Description: partial 16S ribosomal RNA
Rfam family: Bacterial small subunit ribosomal RNA
Source: RNAcentral
GAUGAACGCUGGCGGCGUGCCUAAUACAUGCAAGUCGAGCGAACAGACGAGGAGCUUGCUCCACUGACGUUAGCGACGGACGGGUGAGUAACACGUGGAUAACCUACCUAUAAGACUGGGCUAACUUCGGGAAACCGGAGCUAAUACCGGAUAAUAUAUUGAACCGCAUGGUUCAAUAGUGAAAGACGGUUUUGCUGUCACUUAUAGAUGGAUCCGCGCCGCAUUAGCUAGUUGGUAAGGUAACGGCUUACCAAGGCAACGAUGCGUAGCCGACCUGAGAGGGUGAUCGGCCACACUGGAACUGAGACACGGUCCAGACUCCUACGGGAGGCAGCAGUAGGGAAUCUUCCGCAAUGGGCGAAAGCCUGACGGAGCAACGCCGCGUGAGUGAUGAAGGUCUUCGGAUCGUAAAACUCUGUUAUUAGGGAAGAACAAAUGUGUAAGUAACUAUGCACGUCUUGACGGUACCUAAUCAGAAAGCCACGGCUAACUACGUG